Molecule: ribosomal RNA, 465 nt
Filed under: uncultured bacterium
Lineage: Bacteria
Description: partial 16S ribosomal RNA
Rfam family: Bacterial small subunit ribosomal RNA
Source: RNAcentral
CCUACGGGAGGCAGCAGUGGGGAAUAUUGCGCAAUGGGCGAAAGCCUGACGCAGCGACGCCGCGUGAGGGAUGAAGGUCUUCGGAUCGUAAACCUCUGUCAGCAGGGAAGAACGGUCACUGUGCUAAUCAGCAGUGAAUUGACGGUACCUGCAAAGGACGCACCGGCUAACUCCGUGCCAGCAGCCGCGGUAAUACGGAGGGUGCGAGCGUUAAUCGGAAUUACUGGGCGUAAAGCGCUCGUAGGCGGUAUGUCAAGUCAAGGGUGAAAUCCCCGCGCUCAACGUGGGAACUGCAUUUGAAACUGGCAAACUGGAGUGUGUGAGAGGAUAGUGGAAUGCCAGGUGUAGGAGUGAAAGCCGUAGAUAUCUGGAGGAACAUCAGUGGCGAAGGCGACUAUCUGGCACAUAACUGACGCUGAGGAGCGAAAGCGUGGGUAGCAAACAGGAUUAGAUACCCGGGUAGUC